Non-coding RNA from Delphinapterus leucas (beluga whale), 894 nucleotides. Lineage: Eukaryota; Metazoa; Chordata; Mammalia; Artiodactyla; Monodontidae. The record is from RefSeq and is a predicted model, not a curated record.
CCACUAAGUAUUGAACACCUACUUUGAGUAAUGCUCUGUCUCAGUUAAGCAGUGUGAGUGAUACCUGGAUUAAGGGAAAAAGUGAGCAGAGCCUUGAAGGAUGUCCCAAAUAACUACACUCACAAAUACACUCUCCUGGAGAAGGACCAGCAUUUGCAAAGACACCUGAAGAGUGCAGGUGGUUCUUAGGGGAAGAUGGAUGAUCCUCUGCUGCAGUGAAGGAUAUGGAGGAAAGGAAUUCCUACCAUAGUCAUGACUUUAUUGACCCCAGUGAUGGUAGAAGUGUUGGAGGUGGUUUAUGUGUCUGAUUGGCAGUGGGGAUGGAAAAGAGAAAUGAGGGCUUGCAUGGUAUGAGACGCCUUCACGGGUAUUUCAAGAAUAAUUUAUUUGAAAAAUAUAUGCUUCUUCGGUUCUUUGCAAAGGAGUGAGCAUACCAAUGGCAAAUCAGCUCUCUGGAGGAAGGACCAGGGUAAGAGGCCCGUGCAGAAGCAGAUUCAGUGUGGAUUUAAGCAAGUAAUUCUGGAGUCCCAGGUUGUGUUCUCUGGAAGCAUCUGGAGUCCAAGAUAUUUAUUAGGCAUCAACACCUGUGAAAAGAAGAGAAGCAGAACUGGGCCAAGAGAAGUCAAAUUGCAAAGUAGAACUGACAAGAUCUCAGCUCAUUGAGCGGGGAGCUCUGACGUCAGACUGCCCAUUAGAGUUGUCUCAAAUCAGCUUCAGGCCUUUAUCCUCCAACACCACUCUCCCCUUCUUGCUCAGUUACUGGAUGCAGUCUUCCGGAAAAGGCAUGAUUUCAGGGUUGGAAUUGUGAUUAAGGAAUGAACUGUCCCUGCCCUCAUGGAGUUUAAAGUCUGGAGAGAAAUCAGACAUUGAGCAGGCAUUUAUGUACCAGGAAGA